This 343-nucleotide unclassified non-coding RNA is filed under the name soil metagenome. Its description in RNAcentral is "partial contains 5.8S ribosomal RNA, internal transcribed spacer 2, and large subunit ribosomal RNA". The stretch from base 1 to 120 matches the Rfam family "5.8S ribosomal RNA", at positions 35 to 154 of the family's 154-position model. The record is from RNAcentral.
GAUGAAGAACGUAGCGAAAUGCGAUAAGUAAUGUGAAUUGCAGAAUCCAGUGAAUCAUCGAAUCUUUGAACGCACAUUGCGCCCGCCAGCAUUCUGGCGGGCAUGCCUGUUCGAGCGUCAUUUCAACCCUCGACCUCCCUUUGGGGAAGUCGGCGUUGGGGACCGGCAGCACACCGCCGGCCCUGAAAUGGAGUGGCGGCCCGUCCGCGGCGACCUCUGCGUAGUAAACCAACUCGCACCGGAACCCCGACGUGGCCACGCCGUAAAACACCCAACUUAUGAACGUUGACCUCGAAUCAGGUAGGACUGCCCGCUGAACUUAAGCAUAUCAAUAAGCGGAGGA